GUUCUCUGCCCCCUCCCAGCUCUGGUGUGGGCGGCCUCCGCUAUGGCUGCGCUGCGAAGGCUCUUGUGGCCGCCACCCCGGGUGUCUCCUCCACUCUGCGCUCACCAGCCCCUCCUUGGGCCGUGGGGGCGGCCUGCGGUGACCACCCUGGGCCUUCCUGGCCGGCCCUUCUCCUCCCGAGAGGAUGAGGAGAGGGCUGUGGCGGAGGCGGCAUGGAGGCGGCGGCGGCGCUGGGGGGAGCUGAGCGUGGCGGCGGCGGCCGGCGGGGGGCUGGUCGGCCUGGUAUGCUACCAGCUGUACGGGGACCCCAGGGCCGGCUCGCCGGCGACCGGGCGACCCUCAAAGAGCGCGGCCACGGAGCCCGAGGACCCGCCCCGCGGCCGGGGGAUGCUGCCCAUCCCAGUGGCGGCUGCCAAGGAGACGGUUGCUAUUGGCAGAACAGACAUUGAAGACUUAGACCUUUAUGCCACAUCUCGGGAGAGGCGAUUUCGUUUAUUUGCUUCUAUAGAAUGUGAAGGGCAGUUAUUCAUGACUCCGUAUGAUUUUAUUUUGGCUGUUACAACAGAUGAGCCCAAAGUUGCCAAAACUUGGAAGUCACUUUCCAAACAGGAAUUAAAUCAAAUGCUCGCAGAAACACCACCAGUUUGGAAAGGCUCAUCGAAGCUAUUUCGAAAUCUUAAAGAAAAAGGUGUGAUUUCUUACACAGAAUAUCUUUUUCUUUUAUGUAUUUUAACAAAGCCACAUGCAGGGUUCAGAAUAGCUUUCAACAUGUUUGACACUGAUGGCAAUGAGAUGGUGGAUAAAAAAGAGUUUUUGGUGCUUCAAGAGAUAUUCAGGAAAAAAAAUGAAAAGAGAGAAAUUAAAGGAGAUGAAGAAAAGCGUGCAAUGCUGCGUCUUCAACUUUAUGGAUACCAUUCUCCUACUAAUAGUGUACUUAAAACAGAUGCUGAGGAACUUGUCUCCAGAAGCUAUUGGGAUACACUGAGACGUAACACAAGCCAAGCACUGUUUUCAGACCUCGCAGAGCGUGCUGAUGACAUCACAAGUUUAGUAACAGAUACUACACUUCUUGUACACUUUUUUGGAAAGAAAGGAAAAGCUGAGCUCAACUUUGAAGAUUUUUAUAGAUUCAUGGAUAAUCUCCAAACAGAAGUUCUAGAAAUAGAAUUCCUUUCCUACUCAAAUGGAAUGAAUACCAUCAGUGAAGAAGAUUUUGCUCAUAUUCUUUUACGAUAUACAAAUGUGGAAAAUACAUCAGUAUUUUUAGAAAAUGUGCGUUACAGUAUACCUGAAGAAAAGGGCAUCACAUUUGAUGAAUUCAGGUCAUUUUUCCAGUUUUUAAACAACCUAGAAGACUUUGCAAUAGCCCUGAAUAUGUAUAACUUUGCAAGUCGUUCUAUAGGGCAAGAUGAAUUUAAACGUGCCGUCUAUGUAGCUACUGGACUCAAAUUUUCACCACAUUUAGUGAACACUGUCUUCAAGAUUUUUGAUGUUGACAAAGAUGAUCAAUUAAGUUAUAAAGAAUUUAUUGGAAUUAUGAAAGACAGACUCCAUAGAGGAUUCCGGGGUUAUAAAACAGUCCAGAAGUACCCCACUUUCAAAUCCUGCCUGAAGAAAGAACUUCACAGCAGAUAAAUACUCCUAAAACAAAGUUUAAAGGAUUACUAUCUGUGUGACAAAUAACAAGAAGCAACAUUUUGAGAAUGGAAGCAGGUCUGAGGUCAGAAGAAGUAGAGAAUGAAGGAAAAGUACAACCUUGAGAGGUACCUGAAUCCUUCACUUAAGCCUUUGAGGAACUCUGUGGGGUGAGUCUGCCACUUUCAAGGUGUCUCCGUAUUGCAGGCAUUUAAGUUCUCUAUGGUCUAUGAGUUUAUUACCAUAUGUUUCUGAGAUUUAAAAAUUUUGUCUCUGUACUCUCUUCCAGUUUUCCUGUCCUUGAGAAAGAAACCUAUACUGAAAAAAAAAUUCCUUUCCUGUCAUUAUGGUAUAGUUUCAAGAGGGAGUGAGGAAAAAUCGGCAUCCAAAACAACAUAUUUAACUCCAUAGUUACACAUAGUUCUAAUAUAUCUGGAAGUACCCACAAGGAACUUAAGGAUGGUUAUCUUUGAAGAUGGGGGCGUGGUUAUAUUUAAUGAGCUGUUAUUGAACUAUUAGAGUAUUGUUAGCAUGGGUAUGUUUACUUUUUAAGAAAAGCACAUUUUUAACACUUAGGAUCUCAGUCUGGUAAAAGUGGGAAUAAAUCAUGAAGGCUAUGUAUUCGGUGAAUUUAUUCACCAAAUCUAGAGUUAGACUACUUCUUGAAGUGGGAAGAGAUGGUUUGAAGAAAAAAUAAAAGUAUUACGGUGAUUGUAAAUUUGUGGAACUACCACACAGUUUAGGUUUGGAUGGUAGGACUGCAGAAGGAAAGAAUUGAGAAAGGAACAUCAGGGGGAAUCAGUUACUCGGUUCAAAAAGGUAAAGAUGGCAGCUACACUCUCUGACACAGUAUAUUCUGGUCACAUUUACCAUCAGAGACAAAUGAACUUGAUUAUUAAUCUAAUUCAGUAUGGCAUUUCCUAUAUGUGUAUUAUUUAGGAAUGAAGCAAGUAGCUUAAAGGUAAGCACAUUAGUCUGCUAGCAGAUUUUAAACUGAGGUAAAAUAAGAGUUUAGGACAGAAUAAAAGACAGUAAAGAUAUUUUGAGUGUAUGCUAUAUCAUGCUUUUGCAAGCUCUAGGUGCUAUAAGAGUUAAAUAUUUAAGCUGAAAAAUCUAUGAAAAGCACCCUGAAAAUCUAUACUUUUUUAUGCCAUUGCUCUUUGGUGCUAAGAGUUUCUCAAGUAAGUGAGUAUCUUAUGUACCAUUUGUGCUGUAAUAUUUAAUUACAGUGAGUGUACAGAAGAUUAGCUGUCACAAAGAAUCUUUUGAAAUCAGAUUGCACAUCAAAACUACAUUGUGCCCUGCUAAGUAGGCAAAUUUAAGAAAGAGGAGAAAGUGAUGUCAAGACGUAUUGCAAAAUGAACAAAUAAAGCAAUAGGAUUUGCUUGUUGUUCAGCCUAUUAAAGCACAGCCAAAUGUCAGCCUUCAUUUGUCAACUUAAAUAUGUUUUUUCUAAAAUUUAUAAAGAUUCAGUCUAUGGAAAGUAUCCUUUACUAUUUGGACUGAGAAGUAAAUUAAGCAAAAGGAAAUACUAAAUAGAUUAUGCUACUAAUUCAGUUUCUCAUAGUGAUAAAUUGCCACAUAAAGAUGUAUGUUAGUAAUUCAGAUAGAGAUAUUUAUUGCCUUUUAUUUUUGUUAUUUGACUGAUUAGCAAAUUAACAUAUGUGUUUUUGCUCCCAGAUAUGUGAGGUUUUAAAAGCUUAGGUUAAUUUCUGCUCCACAAUAGCUAAACCCCAAAUACAAUGUACACUGAACCAUUUCUAGUGUCCUGUGAUUUCUUCCCUUCAAAAACAAAAAACAAAAAAGGGGUAAAAAUAAUUUUUUAAAAAAUCUAAGUGCUGAGCCCCAAGUAGCCAGGAGUGGAAACUAUCAGUUUAGAGCCUGAAUUGGACUUGCUAGAAAUCACCAGGAACCAGACCACAUAAGGGGAGGCUCCUCAGCUAGAGCAACAGAGUUCACAGAUGGUUGGAACUGGAAUGGUUGGGAGCCUGCGGGCUUUAUGGAGAGGAGAGAUUGCCCUGAAGCCAGAGUUCUCUACUGACAGUGUGUGAGCAUAAUCAGCUUUGAAACAGCAGUGAGGGAGAGGACCUGAAUGGGCCCUCCUCUUCUGAGUUAAAACUUUUAAGGGAAUCCCAAAAGUUCCUGAGAUCAGUGUACACACACACACACACACACACACACACACACACACACACCAGAAUGAAGCAGAAGAAACUAUCCCAAAAGAGUCUUACAUGAUAAUCAAGCAUAAACUUUAAAAGAAUUCAACCAAAUCCAGAUAAAGGUAGCCACUAUGAGUGAAAAUCAAAGGCAACAAUACAUUUAGACUGCAGAAAAUGCAUAUGUUGGAACUGAAUACAAAAUACAGAAUACAGGCUAUAUGUGAAAUUAACUUUGAAAUUUCAAAAAUUGUUACACAAAAUGAGAAAACUGUAGGGAUUAAACAGAUACACUUAUGAGAUAGAAUUUCUAGAAAUAAGCAUUUGCUGAAAUCAAAACCUCCAUUGGAGAGCCAUGACUAUUAGACUUAUCCUUCUACCAUAAACAACUACGACAUUGCACAACAAAUAAUUCAGGGCCUUGAUCCUUGAAAGAAGGGAAAACUAUGUGGUGGAACUCUGCAUUCAGUGGCUUUCUUCCUGGAAGGGCUUUCCAAACUACAGCAGAAGUAAGUGGAGCCCAGACAAAAAAGAGUUGCAUGGGAUGGCAGAAAUGGGACCAGAGUUAAGAAUAGCUCAAGUAGCUGGCUGAAAUUUAUGGGACAGAGUACCAGGGAAGGGGAGCUGUGCAGAAAAGAAGCACCAAAAAUCUGCAUAGGGGUACUGUUAAGUCUGACUGAAUACUAAGCUGUACGUAAGCAAGGCAAGACUUCAUGGGGCACGGCAGAAAACAGUCACUGGAGGUCCCAUAGUGCUGGGAGCCAUCAGUGUUCAAAUCAGCCAGUGUGUGAAGGUCUCACUGAACAACCCAAGCAUUAAGUAAAGGUCACAGGUUAGGGGUAAGGCUACUGUACCUCUAAAGUAAAGACAACUCUUGACCUAUCCUAAAAUUAAACCUUGACAGGACCAAGCUAUCCUAUCAGUACCGCAGCUACCUGCCAGAACAAAACUCAAUACCUGCACAGGAAGACAGCAAAUUCCUACUGUCAACAGUGUAGUAUCCAUAACAUCCACUAUAAAGUAAGCCAAUAUUAGGCUAAGCAGGAAAAUGUGACCCUUAAAAAGGGGAGAAAGUCAUUCAUAGAAAAAGGCCCAGAGGUGACCCACAUAUUUGAAUUAGCAGAUAAAAACUUUAAGAACUAUUAUAAACAUGUUCAAGGGUUUAAGUAAAAAUAAUAGCAUAAUAGGUAAAGAGAUGGUAAUUACAGACAGAACAAUGAAAACUAUAAAAACCAAAUGAAAAUUUUAGAAUUGAAAAAUACAAUACUUGAAAUAAAAAUUCAUUCUGUGAACCUAAUAGAAGAUUGGAGACAGAAGAAAUGAUCAGUAAACUUAAAGGCAGGGAAAUACAAGCUAUCCAAACUGAUGCACAAAAGAAAAAACUAUUGAGGAAAAGAAAAGAAUAGCACCUCAGUGAACUAUGGAACCACACAAAACAGACUACUGUAAGUGUAAUUGGAGAUCAAGAAGAGGGGAAGAGGGUGGGAGAGUAAAAGAAAAAUUGAAAAAGUACUAACCAAAAUUCUUCCCAAAUUUGAAGAAAUGUGUAAGAGUUUCAAGAAGUUUAACCCCAAACAAACCCACAUCUGUUCAUAUCCUAAUUAAAUGGCUAGAAAGCAAAAACAAAAAUUUUUUUUCAGAGACAAAAGAUAUAUACAAGGGUAAUGAUAAGAAUCAGUGCUGACUUAUCAGUAAUAAUGGAGAACAGAAGAUAAUUGUAUAACAUCUUUAAAUGGUGGAAAGAAAAAAGUGUUAAACUGGAAUAGUAUAUUCAGUAAAAUAGUCUUUUAAAAUAAUGGUUAUAUAAAGACACCUUCCGAUAAAUACUGUCGGAGAGAAUGUAACCAGCAGACCUGCACACUGGAAGAGUUAAAAGAACUUCUUUAGGCAAUUGGGGAAUGAAACUAGCCAAAAAUUUUGAUACAUACAAAAUAAAGUUCACCACGUAAAUGAUAAAUGUUUAGUAAAAUAUACAAUGUUUUCCCUUAAGUGUAUAAAAAGGCAAUUGAGACUAGGCGCGGUGGCUCACACCUGUAAUCCCAGCACUUUGGGGGACUGAGGCGGUGGGUCGCCUGAGGGUAGGAAUUCAAAACCAUCCUGGGCAACAUGGUAAAACCCCAUCUCUACAAAAAUACAAAAAUUAGCCGGGCGUGGUGGCGCAUGCCUGUAAUCCCAGCUACUCAGGAGGCCAAGGCAGAAGAAUCACUUGACUGAGGUGGAGGUUGCAGUGAGCCGAGAUCGCACCAUUGCACUGCAGCCUGGGAGCAAGACUCUGUCUCAAAAAAAAAAAGAGAAAAAGAAAAAGGCAAUUGACUCUUUAAAAUGAAAAUAAUGCAUUGCUGCGUUUAUCAUUAAAUUAUUUGGUAAUAUCGCAAAGGACAGAAAGGGGUAAAUAGAAGUAUACUGUUGUAAGAUUGUAUUGUAGGUGCAAUGGCAUAGUAUUAAUUCAGUUAAUAUAGAUUGCGACCCAUAGAACCGUAAGUGAGUUAAAAUGCAGUAAUUUUUUUUAAAUGGCUAACCCAUAACGCA
This is an RNA transcript of Homo sapiens (human), 6323 nucleotides long. It is a transcript of the gene named mitochondrial calcium uptake 3, with no coding region annotated. The transcript has 16 exons. The record is from RefSeq and is marked validated. NCBI's taxonomy places the organism in Eukaryota, Metazoa, Chordata, Mammalia, Primates, Hominidae.